RNAcentral lists this long non-coding RNA (1872 nucleotides) under Monodelphis domestica (gray short-tailed opossum). Its description in RNAcentral is "lncRNA (ENSMODG00000040230.1)". Lineage: Eukaryota; Metazoa; Chordata; Mammalia; Didelphimorphia; Didelphidae. The record is from RNAcentral.
CCAUAAUUCAUUCACUCUUUAACCCUUGCAAUCAGGCUUCUGUCCUCACUAUUCAACUGAAACCCCUGAAUCAAAGGUCAAUAACUUUUUUUUAAUGUUUCAGUUUGUGUUUUUUGACAAAUGAUGUACUCUACAGCCUAAUAACAGCACAAUUGGAGUGUAGGUUUCUUCCAGACUGGCAACAGAAGAGAAAUAUUGGAGGAACACAAGACUCACAAUGUGAAAGGGCUGAGGACUGGGUAGUGGCAAGGAGUGUAUGACUAGAACAGCGGGGACUAUUCAAGGUAAAAUUCUUUCUUUGAUUUUAGGGCCACUCAUCUCACUCCAACUGGCAGAUGGGUGGGGGAGAGUGGCUUAUGCCUAGAAGUUUCUUUUCCCCAUAAAGAUAGAAGUGCCUUAUGAAGACACCAUUGCUAAAUAUCACAUUAUUCACCAAAACAUGUUGGUUUUUAGUCGUUGUAUUCAACUUUUGUUUUUUUUUUAACUUUAAGUAUGUAAGACCAAGACACUUUCAUUUACAUAAGAGGUGGUCAAAAGGAGGGUGGUUCCUCUGGCCAGGAAGAUGUAGAAGGCCAGUACAUAUUGAGGACUUGUGCUCAAGAGGGACUAUGGCUGCUGCCUACUUUGUGUGCAUGAAGCAUGUCUUGACCAACUUAAAAGGGAUUCUUGGUUAUGGGAGUCAGACAUCGAAGCUCCUCAAACAACUGCGUGUGAAAGAUGGCAGCCUCUGCCUCUUUGGCAAUCAAGUGCUGCAUCUGCACAGCUUCUACUGGGUAGUCUUCUUUGGCAGUCUCUUCAGACAGCAUGAUGCAAUCAGCUCCAUCCAGGACAGCAUUGGCUACAUCGCUGCCUUCAGCCUGAGUGGGGUGUGACUUCUUAAUCAUGCUCUCUAACAUCUGAGUGAUACAAAUAACAGGUUUCCCAACUCAAUUGCACCUCCUGAUCAUCAUCUUCUGAGCAAGGAAGACUUUUUUUUGGCAGGGAUCUCAAUACCUAGGUCCCCUUGAACAACCAUGAUACCAUCACUGGCUUCCAGGAUCUCAUCAAAUCUUUGGACCCCUUCAUGGUUCUCAAUCUUGCUUAUGAUCUUGAUGUGUUUUCCUGGAUCUAACUGCAUGAACAUCAUCUGCCUUUUGGAUGAAAGAUGCAAACACCAUAUCCACUUCUUGCUCUAAUCUAAACUUGAGAUCUUAGAUAUCCUUCUCAGUUACAACAGGCAAGAACAGCUGCCCCAAAAAGGUUCACACCUUUCUUGAUGUCCAGACUUCCACCAUUCUCUACCUCAGUCAAAAGAUAAUCCUUACCUUUCUCCUUCACAAACAGAGAGAUGAGCCCAUCAUCCACAUAGAUUUUGCCACCUAUGUCCACCACUCUGCAAGUGUUUUUGUAGUCUUCCCAUAGAAUGUUCUUGUCACAUUUUUCCAUAUGAGUUAUCAUCCAAGGUGAUCUUCAGAGGGUUACCCUUCUUCAGCUCCACUUCUGCAAUACCACUACCCUUGAUGAGUACAGUACAGAUCUCUGGUCCUUUGGUGUUCAAAGCUAUAGCAACAGGUCAGUAAAUGACGGGGUCAGAAGCAAAGCUUUCAGUAGCUGUUUGCACAUUUUUUGACAGUUUCUGCAUGGUACUCAUGCGAUCCAUGGGAGAAGUUUUAAUGAGCCACGUUCAUUCCAGCUUUAAUCAUCUCUUUCAAUUUCCCCACAUCUCAGGAGGCUGGGUCGAUAGUACAGAUGAUACUACUGUUUCUGGCAUUAGGGGGUUCUGAGUCAAUGUCCAGACGACAUAUAUUCCAGAAAAGUGUUGGCCAUGGCAGCGAACAGUUGCUGGUUUGGAAUAUCUGUACCUGUUAUUGUGCUGGGUGGUUUGGCCAAAUC